Molecule: ribosomal RNA, 111 nt
Filed under: Ipomoea nil (Japanese morning glory)
Lineage: Eukaryota; Viridiplantae; Streptophyta; Magnoliopsida; Solanales; Convolvulaceae
Source: RNAcentral
UCAUAUAUACUAGCAGUAAUGUAUCGGAUCGCAUGAGAAUUCUGAAGUUAAGCUUGUUUGGGUGAUAGUAACAAAAUGGAUGACCUCUAGGAAGUUUCUCUUAUAUAUAAU